GAUGAACGCUGGCGGUAUGCCUAACACAUGCAAGUCGUACGAGAGUUUUUUAACUCUAGUGGCGACGGGUGAGUAACACGUGAGAAUUUGCCUUUUAGGAGGGGGACAACAAUUGGAAACGAAUGCUAAUACCCCAUAUGCUUUCGAGUGAAAUGGAUUUUAUCCGCCUAGAGAGAAGCUCGCGGCUGAUUAGCUUGUUGGUAAGGUAAGAGCUUACCAAGGCGACGAUCAGUAUCUGGUUUGAGAGGACGAUCAGACACACUGGAACUGAGACACGGUCCAGACUCCUACGGGAGGCAGCAGUGGGGAAUUUUCCGCAAUGGGCGAAAGCCUGACGGAGCAAUACCGCGUGAGGGAAGAAUGCCUAUGGGUUGUAAACCUCUUUUUUCAGGGAGGAAUAAAAUGACGUGUACCUGAAGAAUAAGCAUCGGCUAACUCCGUG
RNAcentral lists this ribosomal RNA (442 nucleotides) under uncultured bacterium. RNAcentral describes it as "bacterial SSU rRNA". It matches the Rfam family "Bacterial small subunit ribosomal RNA", at positions 28 to 507 of the family's 1533-position model. The record is from RNAcentral.